RNAcentral lists this ribosomal RNA (576 nucleotides) under uncultured bacterium. RNAcentral's name for it is "partial 16S ribosomal RNA". The record is from RNAcentral.
ACGGUUACCUUGUUACGACUUCACCCCAAUUAUCAGACCCACCUUCGACUGCGCCCCCCUUGCGGUUGGGCUACAGGCUUCGGGUGUUUCCGACUCUCAUGGUGUGACGGGCGGUGUGUACAAGGCCCGGGAACGUAUUCACCGCGGCAUGCUGAUCCGCGAUUACUAGCAAUUCCGACUUCAUGCAGGCGGGUUGCAGCCUGCAAUCUGAACUGAGACGGCUUUUAGGGAUUUGCUCCACAUCGCUGUCUUGCUUCCCUCUGUAUGUCCGCCAUUGUAGUACGUGUGUAGCCCAGGACAUAAAGGGCAUGAUGAUUUGACGUCGUCCCCACCUUCCUCCGUUUUGUCAACGGCAGUCUCGCUAGAGUGCUCUUGCGUAGCAACUAACAAUAAGGGUUGCGCUCGUUGCGGGACUUAACCCAACAUCUCACGACACGAGCUGACGACAACCAUGCACCACCUGUGUGGGAUGUCUCCGAAGAGAAAACUCUAUCUCUAGAGCGGUCAUCCCCAUGUCAAGCCCUGGUAAGGUUCUUCGCGUUGCUUCGAAUUAAACCACAUACUCCACUGCUUGUG